This 108-nucleotide small RNA is filed under the name Epilithonimonas mollis. RNAcentral describes it as "Chryseobacterium molle Flavo-1 RNA". It matches the Rfam family "Flavo-1 RNA". The record is from RNAcentral. Lineage: Bacteria; Pseudomonadati; Bacteroidota; Flavobacteriia; Flavobacteriales; Weeksellaceae.
AACUAGCCCCGAUGGGAACGGCAUCCUUUUUUGUUUUCUCUUCACAGGUCUAUAAGAUUGACUUAUGGUCACAAAACAAAAAAGAUACAGUGGACAGCGGGAUCAGGC